UUGAAAAGAAUAGGGGUUUGGUGCUUAGGUUCUUGCGACCGCACAAUAUUCCCCGACAAUUGUAUCAGUUUUUGUUUCAUCAGAAAUGUCUUGUAGACAAAUCACAAAAGCAUCCUCCAGAGUUCAAACCGAAGGCUCUGGACUUUUCAAUCCGUUAAUACUUGAGUGAUUGUUUCAAUAAUUGAAGAAAGGAAAAUGCAAAGGAAAUUGAGAAGAAUUCUCAACCAAAAAAUAAUAACAAAUCAUGAGUGUGAGUGAUGGCCGGCUUGGUGACCGGUCUCGUCGGUGUCGUUGCCGCCUAAAAGUGUUGGUAAAAGCGAGAAAUUGUCACGCAACCAAGGCCAUCACUUCCUUUUUGUGAUAGUUUUUUCGCGCGCGAUUUCGGCAUAGAGCAUCCAACCGAAGAUUUUUGAUUGAUAAAAUCUCAACAGAACAAAUUCAGUAGAAAAAUCAAACUUUAUCAAGUUUUUUCUAUUGGGUAUUUGUCUGAAAAAAUAUAUCUGAAGAAAGAAAGCGUGUAGAGGGUGAAGAAUUGUCAAUACAAAACGAGACCACUGAAAUAUAACUAUAUUCAGUAGUAGAGUGUAUUCAGAGACAGUCAGUCGUGCAUAAUCGUGCAGCAACUGUACACCUUGGCAGUGCCUGGCAGAAAAUAAAAAAUUAACUGAAUUUUUAAUUGUUCUGUAGAAUCGGCCUCAUCCAACAACUUCAGGAUGUCAGGCGCACACCAAAGUGACUCUAAAUCAUUCAGUGGAAGCGCGAAGGAAAAUAAUCGACAGAAUGCCGGCAUGCAAUCGCUGAUGGAGGACAUCAAUGCUAGUUGUAAGAAGAAAUUCCAGACCAUCCGAACUCUGGAAGAGAAUUUGAUUGGGGCAACCAAUUCAGGAUUGUAGGCUGCGAAAAGGAAUAAUAAUAUGUCUGUCGACUAUCUGCGAGAAUUACAACGACAUAUGUCACAAUAACGACAAAUGUUACAGUUGUUAUAUCUAUUCUGAAUGAGCGAAUAAUAGUGCUUAAUU
Molecule: long non-coding RNA, 1019 nt
Organism: Diachasma alloeum
Lineage: Eukaryota; Metazoa; Arthropoda; Insecta; Hymenoptera; Braconidae
Exons: 4
Source: RefSeq, a predicted model, not a curated record